Long non-coding RNA from Strongylocentrotus purpuratus (purple sea urchin), 134 nucleotides. RefSeq lists it as uncharacterized. The transcript is spliced from 2 exons. Lineage: Eukaryota; Metazoa; Echinodermata; Echinoidea; Camarodonta; Strongylocentrotidae. The record is from RefSeq and is a predicted model, not a curated record.
AAGGACGAUGACCCAUCGUAUAUGCCACCAAGCCCACAAAGAGCAAACCUUUGAGAAAAAGGAGGCUCCUUUCUGAAAGCGAUGAAGAAGACAUGAGAGGUGCCAUUGAAAAGGCUAUGAUAAGUCAAACGUUC